This 530-nucleotide ribosomal RNA is filed under the name uncultured delta proteobacterium. Its description in RNAcentral is "bacterial SSU rRNA". It matches the Rfam family "Bacterial small subunit ribosomal RNA", at positions 15 to 523 of the family's 1533-position model. The record is from RNAcentral. Lineage: Bacteria; Deltaproteobacteria.
GAUCCUGGCUCAGAACGAACGUUAGCGGCGCGCUUAAUACAUGCAAGUCGUAGCGAGAAAGGGGCUUACGGCCCCGGUAAAGCGGCGCACGGGUGAGUAACACGUAGGUCAUCUCCCCUCGAGUGGUGGAUAACCCUCCGAAAGGAGGGCUAAUACAGCAUGAGACCACGGCUUCGUUGAAGCUGUGGCCAAAGUAGGCCUCUCCACGGAAGCUUACGCUUGAGGAUGAGCCUGCGGCCCAUCAGCUAGUUGGUAGGGUAAUGGCCUACCAAGGCUAAGACGGGUAGCUGGUCUGAGAGGAUGAACAGCCACACUGGAACUGAGACACGGUCCAGACUCCUACGGGAGGCAGCAGUAGGGAAUCUUGCGCAAUGGGCGAAAGCCUGACGCAGCGACGCCGCGUGAGCGAUGAAGGCCUUCGGGUUGUAAAGCUCUGUGGGGAGGGAAGAAUAAGGUCCACCUAAUACGUGGACCGAUGACGGUACCUCCUUAGCAAGCACCGGCUAACUCUGUGCCAGCAGCCGCGGUAA